ACCGAACUUCGGAUUGACUUGGCGUAAUAGACUAUUCGCUGAGGAUUCUAGUUUACUAGAGCCGAGUUGGGUUAAAGGAAGCUCCUAAUCCUAAAGUCUAUUUUUUGAUUAGAUCUCAAAUCAGGUAGGACUACCCGCUGAACUUAAGCAUAUCAAUAAGCGGAGGAAAAGAAACUAACAAGGAUUCCCCUAGUAGCGGCGAGCGAAGCGGGAAGAGCUCAAAUUUAUAAUCUGGCACCUUCGGUGUCCGAGUUGUAAUCUCUAGAAGUGUUUUCCGCGUUGGACCGCACACAAGUCUGUUGGAAUACAGCGGCAUAGUGGUGAAACCCCCGUAUAUGGUGCGGACGCCCAGCGCUUUGUGAUACACUUUCAAUGAGUCGAGUUGUUUGGGAAUGCAGCUCAAAUUGGGUGGUAAAUUCCAUCUAAAGCUAAAUAUUGGCGAGAGACCGAUAGCGAACAAGUACCGUGAGGGAAAGAUGAAAAGCACUUUGGAAAGAGAGUUAACAGUACGUGAAAUUGUUGGAAGGGAAACGCUUGAAGUCAGACUUGCUUGCCGGAGCUUGCUUCGGUUUGCAGGCCAGCAUCAGUUUUCCGGGGUGGAUAAUGACGGUUUGAAGGUAGCAGUCUCGG
RNAcentral lists this ribosomal RNA (630 nucleotides) under Rhodotorula diobovata. Its description in RNAcentral is "eukaryotic LSU rRNA". The stretch from base 111 to 630 matches the Rfam family "Eukaryotic large subunit ribosomal RNA", at positions 1 to 524 of the family's 3401-position model. Lineage: Eukaryota; Fungi; Basidiomycota; Microbotryomycetes; Sporidiobolales; Sporidiobolaceae. The record is from RNAcentral.